This is a long non-coding RNA of Falco peregrinus (peregrine falcon), 685 nucleotides long. RefSeq lists it as uncharacterized. Lineage: Eukaryota; Metazoa; Chordata; Aves; Falconiformes; Falconidae. The transcript is spliced from 3 exons. The record is from RefSeq and is a predicted model, not a curated record.
CUUUAGCCGACAAUUAAAUCAUGCUGCAGACGGCUGGUGACAUGGUGUAUUACCCAGAAUCUAUUUAAAAAUGAAACUCACUGGACUUAUGGGCUAUGAUGUGAAAACAGAUCCAUUACACUCCAGUUUCAUCUUGCAGACGAACGUUGCUGGAGGAAGAACACGACAGGCGACUGGAUUCCGUGCCUGCAUGCAAAUCCCGUCAGCUGGUGGAUUCACUGCCCAUUGCAACCACAGGCUGAGCGGAGCUCACAGAGCUCGAGCCUUAUUUUGUUCACACCAAAGCAGAGAGCAUGUUCUCUUAAAAGUCAAGCAGGCACAACGGUGCAUAUAAAGGCAAGUGUGUGUCCCCCUCAAUUAAACUCUAUCAUCCUCUUUUCAUCAUGGGGCCACAAAAGGAGAGAAAAGGCUUUGGCAGCCAACACCCAUGAGCCUUUGUGGAUCCAUUGGCUGGGACACCCAGUGUCAUGGGAUUCAACCAUCCCCCCCAUGGCUGUGUCCACAUAUCCUCACUGUAAAUGGGGCAAGAAGAAUCCUCAGUUCUCCCUGGCUCCACUUCCAAGCUGCCCAGACAGCAUGGAUGUAUGUGGAAAAACUUUUUGAAGCCUUUUUUUCUUCUUCUUCUUCUUCUUGGUUUUUUUUUUUUUCCCUUUCUAUUCCAAGACUUUGAUUGCAAAUCCUUUUG